This 70-nucleotide transfer RNA is filed under the name Pristimantis sp. 2 CC-2012. RNAcentral's name for it is "tRNA-Val". Lineage: Eukaryota; Metazoa; Chordata; Amphibia; Anura; Strabomantidae. The record is from RNAcentral.
UGAGAUAUAGCUUAAAUUAAAGUAAUUUGUUUACACCAAAUUAAUGCCCGUUAAACCCGGACUAUCUCAA